UACAGAGGUCUCAAGCGUUGUUCGGAAUCACUGGGCGUAAAGGGUGCGUAGGCCGCACGGUAAGUCAGAGGUGAAAUCCCGGAGCUCAACUCCGGAAUGGCCUCCGAUACUGCCGUGCUCGAGGACUGGAGAGGAGAUUGGAAUUCACAGUGGAGCAGUGAAAUGCGUAGAUAUUGUGAGGAACACUAGUGGCGAAGGCGAAUCUCUGGACAGUUCCUGACGCUGAGGCACGAAGGCCAGGGGAGCAAACGGG
RNAcentral lists this ribosomal RNA (253 nucleotides) under uncultured bacterium. RNAcentral's name for it is "partial 16S ribosomal RNA". It matches the Rfam family "Bacterial small subunit ribosomal RNA", at positions 524 to 776 of the family's 1533-position model. The record is from RNAcentral.